This 133-nucleotide non-coding RNA is filed under the name pig gut metagenome. RNAcentral describes it as "glmS glucosamine-6-phosphate activated ribozyme". It matches the Rfam family "glmS glucosamine-6-phosphate activated ribozyme aptamer". Rfam says of the family: This entry contains a glucosamine-6-phosphate activated ribozyme that is found in the mRNA for GlmS. GlmS is an enzyme that uses fructose-6-phosphate and glutamine to generate glucosamine-6-phosphate. The ribozyme catalyses self cleavage of the glmS mRNA that is thought to regulate GlmS activity. The record is from RNAcentral.
AUUAUGUUAGCGCCUGAGCCUGAAAUGGCUGACGAGGAUUGAAGUUAUCGAAAUUUUCGGCGGAUACUUCAAAGGUUUCACAACCUUAGCAUUUCUACAAAAGAUAUGAGUAAUCAUAUAACAAAGAGAAAUG